AUGUGUUUGACGAAAUGCCCCCAAGACCAUGAGUUUGAGGUGGACGAGGAGGGUGAGGGCAUUGUCGACGCGCCGAAAGGAAGAGCGGGCAAUUACACCACCAAAGAUGACAUCUUACUAUGCAAUACUUGGUUGCAAGUGUCGAGGGAUCCAUCCAUUGGAGGUGAUCAAAGUAGAGAUGCUUAUUGGGGGCGAAUGAAAGAACACUUUGAUGCUCACAACGUGAGUGGAAUUGACCGCUCUGAGAGAUCACUUCAGUCCCGAUGGUCGACAAUCAACUCGGAUUGUCAAAAGUGGGCGGCGGCACAAAAGGCAGUUGACAAGAUUAACCCAAGUGGCACAAAUGAGGAUGAUAGAUACAACAUUGCACAAAACUUGUUCAAAGAAGAGACGAGGACAACCAAGAAGGGGAAGAUCAAGAAAGGAAGGAUCUUUACCUUGCCUCAUUGCUAUGAAGUGUUAAAGGAUGAUGAGAAAUGGAAGAAGCGUGAAGAUUUGGAUGAUUUGCAUUUGAGCAACAAUCGCAAGCGAACAAUUGAGUUGAAUGAUGAUGAGGAGGAGGAUGCAUCAAGUGAUGACGGCAAGAGAAGCCCCACACCCAACUCGGUUUCAUACUCGAAGGCAAAACGACCGGAUGGGUGCAAGAAAGACAAAACCGAAAAUAAGAAGAGGAAAGGAGAUGAUGAGCUCAAAAAUGUUAUGGAAGCAAUUGUGAAGGCAAAAAAAGAAGCCAACGAGGUGAGGAAAAUGGCAAGGAACCAAGAUGCCGCGACCGAGGAGAGGAGGUUGGCAGCCGAGGAGAGAAGGGUGGCGGCCGAGGAGCGGAAGGUGGCUUUGGAGGAGAGGAAGGUGAGCAAUGAGGAGCAAACUAGAUUGUUGGAAUAG
Molecule: ribosomal RNA, 885 nt
Filed under: Triticum aestivum (bread wheat)
Lineage: Eukaryota; Viridiplantae; Streptophyta; Magnoliopsida; Poales; Poaceae
Description: partial small subunit ribosomal RNA
Source: RNAcentral